GUCCAAGCGGACCUAAGGAGUCGCAGUUGUGAGCAGGUUAGAGUUACUUGUUAUUGGUAAACAGCCACUAUGGAGAGUAAGGACAAGAAGAAACACCGAAAGAAAAACAGCGGACCCAAAGCUGCAAAGAAAAAGAAGUGGCAUCUGCGGGAUCUCCAGCUAGGAGACGAAGAAAAUGCCCAGAAGAGAAAUGCCAACGCUUUCGCAGUUCAGUCUGCUGUGUGGAUGGCUCUAUCCUUUCACAGGACUCUGGAUUUGAAGACACAAAAGCAUCAUAUUCCAGUCAUUGAUGGAACUCCACUAGAGCCCCCAGCAAUAGUGGUAGUGGUGACGGGGCCUCCAAAGUUGGAAAGAGCACUUUGAUACAAUGCCUCAUUCAGAACUUCAUUGGCAGAAGUUGACCGAGAUCAGAGGCCCUGUGACGAUCGUGUCAGGUAAAAAGUGCAGACUCACCAUUAUUGAAUGUCAGUGUGACAUUAACAUGAUGAUUGAUCUGGCUAAAGUAGCAGAUCUGGUACUGAUGCUUAUAGAUGCCAGCUUUGGGUUUGAAAUGGAAAUGUUUGAAUUUCUAAACAUCUGUGAAGUACAUGGCUUUCCUAAAAUUAUGGGAGUUCUCACCCACCUCGACUCCUUCAAGCAUAAUAAGCAACUGAAGAAGACAAAGAAGCGAUUAAAACACAGGUUCUGGACAGAAGUUUACCAGGUUGCCAAACUGUUCUACCUUUCUGGAAUGGUGCAUGGAGAAUAUCAAAACCAAGAAAUCCACAAUCUGGGCCAUUUUAUUACAGUUAUGAAGUUUAGGCCUCUCGCAUGGCAGACUUCUCACCCUUAUAUCCUGGCAGACAGGAUGGAAGAUUUGACAAACCCGGAGGAUAUCCAAACAAACAUCAAAUGUGACCAGCAGGUGUCACUUUAUGGUUAUUUAAGAGGCGCACACUUGAAAAAUAAAAGCCAAAUUCACAUGCCAGACAAGGUGGGGCCACCCAUGAGCUGGUCCAGAGUCUCAUCUCCACCUACUCCACCAUGGAUGCCAAGAUGGCUUCAAGUCGAGUGAUGCUGUUUUCCGAUUCCAAACCACUUGGGUCAGAGGCUAUAGAUAAUCAAGG
This 1106-nucleotide small RNA is filed under the name Pongo abelii (Sumatran orangutan). Its description in RNAcentral is "processed transcript". Lineage: Eukaryota; Metazoa; Chordata; Mammalia; Primates; Hominidae. The record is from RNAcentral.